UGGAAUGCUGUCAAGGUGCAAACGCUCUCCAAUCAGCCCCUACUGAAGUCCCCAGCACCUCCCCUUCUACAUGUGGCAGCCCUGGGCCAGAAGCAAGGGAUUCUGGGAGCUCAGCCCCAGCUGAUCUUCCAGCCUCAUCGGAUUCCCCCCCUCUUUCCUCAAAAGCCUCUGAGUCUCUUCCAAACAUCCCACACACUUCAUCUGAGCCACCUGAACAGAUUUCCUGCUCGGGGCCCUCAUGGCCGAUUGGAUCAGGGCCGAAGGUAAGAGGAUGUUCAGUCAGAAAAAAAUAUUUUAUUUCCUUUAUUUGCCUCUAGGAGCACCGCCCCUUUCUUUGCCACCUGCUGACACUAAUAUUCUCUUCCUGCAGCUAGAUCCUAGUUCCUUUACCCUGAAGUAGGCAGACACGUGAGGUAUAUACAAACAUUGGAAUUUUAUAAACUGGUUCAGUAAGCAGGGAUCUGAUGUAGUUCACCUUUCAAAAUAAUCAUAUUGAAUUUUUUCUUAAUAUGUAAUUUUCCCUUUUAUUUCUAGUCCCUAAGAUUGAGAUACUAAGAAUCAAAACUAUCAAGAGGCCCUGGCCAGG
This is a long non-coding RNA of Myotis davidii, 586 nucleotides long. RefSeq lists it as uncharacterized. The transcript has 3 exons. Lineage: Eukaryota; Metazoa; Chordata; Mammalia; Chiroptera; Vespertilionidae. The record is from RefSeq and is a predicted model, not a curated record.